Molecule: transfer RNA, 72 nt
Filed under: Ziziphus mauritiana (Indian jujube)
Lineage: Eukaryota; Viridiplantae; Streptophyta; Magnoliopsida; Rosales; Rhamnaceae
Also listed under: 2 other names
Description: tRNA-Cys
Rfam family: tRNA
About the family: Transfer RNA (tRNA) molecules are approximately 80 nucleotides in length. Their secondary structure includes four short double-helical elements and three loops (D, anti-codon, and T loops).
Source: RNAcentral
GGAACCGUAGCCAAGUGGUAAGGCAUAAGUCUGCAAAACUUCUAUCCGUCGGUUCGAAUCCGACCGGUUCCU